UCCGAAUUGGUGUAGUGGCUAACAUUUGACGCUCUCAAGAUGUAACAAUCAAUGACCCGUCAAGCCCGGGGUUCGAUUCCCCGAUUCGGAG
This is a non-coding RNA of Daldinia decipiens, 91 nucleotides long. The record is from the annotation of a RefSeq genome assembly. Lineage: Eukaryota; Fungi; Ascomycota; Sordariomycetes; Xylariales; Hypoxylaceae.